UGGGGAAUAUUGGACAAUGGGCGAAAGCCUGAUCCAGCCAUGCCGCGUGUGUGAAGAAGGUCUUCGGAUUGUAAAGCACUUUAAGUUGUGAGGAAGGGCAGUAAGCGAAUACCUUGCUGUUUUUACGUUACCGACAGAAUAAGCACCGGCUAACUCUGUGCCAGCAGCCGCGGUAAUACAGAGGGUGCAAGCGUUAAUCGGAAUUACUGGGCGUAAAGCGCGCGUAGGUGGUUCGUUAAGUUGAAUGUGAAAGCCCCGGGCUCAACCUGGGAACUGCAUCCAAAACUGGCGAGCUAGAGUAGGGCAGAGGGUGGUGGAAUUUCCUGUGUAGCGGUGAAAUGCGUAGAUAUAGGAAGGAACACCAGUGGCGAAGGCGACCACCUGGGCUCAUACUGACACUGAGGUGCGAAAGCGUGGGGAGCAAACAGG
RNAcentral lists this ribosomal RNA (429 nucleotides) under Pseudomonadota bacterium. RNAcentral's name for it is "Proteobacteria bacterium partial 16S ribosomal RNA". It matches the Rfam family "Bacterial small subunit ribosomal RNA", at positions 355 to 776 of the family's 1533-position model. Lineage: Bacteria; Pseudomonadati; Pseudomonadota. The record is from RNAcentral.